Molecule: non-coding RNA, 233 nt
Filed under: Schnuerera ultunensis
Lineage: Bacteria; Bacillati; Bacillota; Tissierellia; Tissierellales; Tepidimicrobiaceae
Description: Clostridium ultunense T-box sequence
Rfam family: T-box leader
About the family: Uncharged tRNA acts as the effector for transcription antitermination of genes in the T-box leader family. T-boxes are found upstream of many aminoacyl-tRNA synthetase genes and some amino acid biosynthetic genes usually in Gram-positive bacteria.
Source: RNAcentral
AGAAAAACGAUGAAGGGAAGAGUAGCCAUGAUCUUGCUUUCAAAGAGAGCCGGGAGGGUGGAAACCGGCAAAGCCGUCAUGGUGAAAAUGGCCCCAGAUGUUGCUCCCACGAAGAGGAGAGUAGGGGGAGACGUAUCCGGCGUUAUCGGACGGCAUGAAGAGGAAUGAAGUCCCUUUGCCCAUGGGGAAAGGGAGAAGUUGGGUGGUACCGCGGGAUCGAACUCGCCCCAAGC